UGGUAAAAAUGUUUACCACUUUCGUGUUUUUACUUAAAUUCAAAGGAAACAAGAAGCGGAAGUACAAGAAUUAAACAAACAACAACAAAAUACAGACCGGAAAACACACAGACAAACAUUAACGAAGCGAAACAUCUCAAACACAGCAUUGCCUUCACUGAAAGGAGAGGAUAUCAAGAGGACGCAAAGAGGACGCAUGCUGCCGCCGUUGUAUGGGGAGAGCUUCGGUUAAUCUCUUAUAUUUUUAAUCUCUUGCGCUCAAUUAUCAGCACAUAGAAAAGGAUGUCCAUGAUGCAUAUAGUAAAAAUCCAUUUUAGAUAACCGGACACUAGAACACCACUGGGCACUAAGAUGUAAAUCGACUUAAACAUAGAUGACCAUAAAAAUCAAAUCCAACAUAUUGCUGAACAGUGAACACAAUAAUGACAUCUUCAAAUUCAAUAAUAUUCAACGCCACUCGCUUCGAGAGACACACGCCACGGAACAGCAGUAGUAAUAAAAACAAGACUCCAAAUUAAUUCAACGUAAGGUCCGGAUACGCUGCGACGCGCCUAGACAAUAACACCGUACAUCCAUCCUUGGGAGAUAUCGUGGGGCAGUACACGAUCUCAUCGCAGCCGUCCGAUCGAACCCUCUUGAAAUCCAAAAGCGUCGAGAACAUAGCAAUGAAGAGCACGAGGUGGUUCAGUGCGUAACGCUGACCUACGCACUGGUGCGAGCCCCAUCCAAAAGCGAGAAAGUUGCGCUUGAACACCUGGUCUUCUUUCCUGGUCUCGCUAAACCGGUCUGGAUCAAACCGGUCCGGUUCGGUGAAGCCUUGGAACGAGGAGUCGAAGACCGAGGGAAAGACGAUGGUUCCUUUUGGUAUAGUGUAAGUUUUCGUGAGAGGGAAGUCUACAGCUGCCACGUGUGGGACCAUAGUCGCCGGGGGUCGGUAUCUCACGACCUCACGCGCCACGUUGAGCGUGUACUUCAUCUCCGCGAGCUGAUCAAAAAAUACAGGACAACUGAACGCAAAAUAUUUAAUCUUUUCUGUGUGUGUUUUGUGGGUUUGUUUUUGGUAAAAAUGUUUACCACUUUCGUGUUUUUACUUAAAUUCAAAGGAAACAAGAAGCGGAAGUACAAGAAUUAAACAAACAACAACAAAAUACAGACCGGAAAACACACAGACAAACAUUAACGAAGCGAAACAUCUCAAACACAGCAUUGCCUUCACUGAAAGGAGAGGAUAUCAAGAGGACGCAAAGAGGACGCAUGCUGCCGCCGUUGUAUGGGGAGAGCUUCGGUUAAUCUCUUAUAUUUUUAAUCUCUUGCGCUCAAUUAUCAGCACAUAGAAAAGGAUGUCCAUGAUGCAUAUAGUAAAAAUCCAUUUUAGAUAACCGGACACUAGAACACCACUGGGCACUAAGAUGUAAAUCGACUUAAACAUAGAUGACCAUAAAAAUCAAAUCCAACAUAUUGCUGAACAGUGAACACAAUAAUGACAUCUUCAAAUUCAAUAAUAUUCAACGCCACUCGCUUCGAGAGACACACGCCACGGAACAGCAGUAGUAAUAAAAACAAGACUCCAAAUUAAUUCAACGUAAGGUCCGGAUACGCUGCGACGCGCCUAGACAAUAACACCGUACAUCCAUCCUUGGGAGAUAUCGUGGGGCAGUACACGAUCUCAUCGCAGCCGUCCGAUCGAACCCUCUUGAAAUCCAAAAGCGUCGAGAACAUAGCAAUGAAGAGCACGAGGUGGUUCAGUGCGUAACGCUGACCUACGCACUGGUGCGAGCCCCAUCCAAAAGCGAGAAAGUUGCGCUUGAACACCUGGUCUUCUUUCCUGGUCUCGCUAAACCGGUCUGGAUCAAACCGGUCCG
This 1862-nucleotide long non-coding RNA is filed under the name Brassica napus (rape). Its description in RNAcentral is "long non-coding RNA (BNAP_LNC016508)". The record is from RNAcentral. Lineage: Eukaryota; Viridiplantae; Streptophyta; Magnoliopsida; Brassicales; Brassicaceae.